AGAGUUUGAUCCUGGCUCAGGACGAACGCUGGCGGCGGGCUUAACACAUGCAAGUCGAACGAAAAGCUCCGGGCUUGCCCGGGGUGGAAAGUGGCGCACGGGUGAGUAACGCGUAGGCAAUCUACCCUCAGCAGGGGAACAACCCCGCGAAAGCGGAGCUAAUACCCCAUAAUGUCCCUUGGUCGCAUGACCUCGGGAUCAAAGUUCAGGCGGCUGAGGAUGAGCCUGCGUUAGAUUAGCUAGUUGGUGGGGUAACGGCCCACAAAGGCAACGAUCUAUAGCGGGUCUGAGAGGAUGAUCCGCCACACUGGCACUGAGACACGGGCCAGACUCCUACGGGAGGCAGCAGUGAGGAAUAUUGCGCAAUGGACGAAAGUCUGACGCAGCCACGCCGCGUGCAGGAAGACACCCCUCCGGGGCGUAAACUGCUUUUAUAUGGGAAGAACACCCUGCCCUGCAGGGUCUGACGGUACCAUACGAAUAAGGACCGGCUAACUCCGUGCCAGCAGCCGCGGUAAUACGGAGGGUCCAAGCGUUGUCCGGAAUCACUGGGUGUAAAGGGUGCGCAGGCGGGCUUGUAAGUCAGAGGUGAAAUCCCCCGGCCUAACCGGGGAACUGCCUUUGAUACUGCAAGUCUUGAGUCUUGGAGAGGUUGCUAGAAUUCGUGGUGUAGCGGUGAAAUGCGUAGAUAUCACGAGGAAUACCUGAUGCGUAGGCGGGCAACUGGACAAGUACUGACGCUGAGGCACGAAAGCGUGGGGAGCGAACAGGAUUAGAUACCCUGGUAGUCCACGCCGUAAACGAUGGAUGCUCGAUGCUGGUCCGUUUCA
RNAcentral lists this ribosomal RNA (830 nucleotides) under uncultured sediment bacterium. RNAcentral describes it as "bacterial SSU rRNA". It matches the Rfam family "Bacterial small subunit ribosomal RNA", at positions 8 to 835 of the family's 1533-position model. The record is from RNAcentral.